UAUUUAGUUUUUUGUGGAACA
RNAcentral lists this non-coding RNA (21 nucleotides) under Caenorhabditis elegans. Lineage: Eukaryota; Metazoa; Nematoda; Chromadorea; Rhabditida; Rhabditidae. The record is from RNAcentral.